Molecule: ribosomal RNA, 814 nt
Filed under: uncultured bacterium
Lineage: Bacteria
Description: bacterial SSU rRNA
Rfam family: Bacterial small subunit ribosomal RNA
Source: RNAcentral
AGAGUUUGAUCCUGGCUCAGGAUGAACGCUGGCGGCAUGCCUAAUACAUGCAAGUCGAACGAGAGGAAGGAAAGCUUGCUUUUCUGAAUCUAGUGGCGAACGGGUGAGUAACACGUAGGUAACCUGCCCAUGUGCCCGGGAUAACUUCUGGAAACGGAUGCUAAAACCGGAUAGGUAGCAGACAAGCAUUUGACUGCUAUUAAAGUGGCUAAGGCCAUGAACAUGGAUGGACCUGCGGUGCAUUAGCUAGUUGGUGAGGUAACGGCCCACCAAGGCGACGAUGCAUAGCCGGCCUGAGAGGGCGGACGGCCACAUUGGGACUGAGACACGGCCCAAACUCCUACGGGAGGCAGCAGUAGGGAAUUUUCGUCAAUGGGGGGAACCCUGAACGAGCAAUGCCGCGUGAGUGAAGAAGGUCUUCGGAUCGUAAAGCUCUGUUGUAAGAGAAAAACGACAUUCAUAGGGAAUGAUGAGUGAGUGAUGGUAUCUUACCAGAAAGUCACAGCUAACUACGUGCCAGCAGCCGCGGUAAUACGUAGGUGGCGAGCGUUAUCCGGAAUGAUUGGGCGUAAAGGGUGCGUAGGUGGCAGAACAAGUCUGGAGUAAAAGGUAUGGGCUCAACCCGUACUGGCUCUGGAAACUGUUCAGCUAGAGAACAGAAGAGGACGGCGGAACUCCAUGUGUAGCGGUAAAAUGCGUAGAUAUAUGGAAGAACACCGGUGGCGAAGGCGGCCGUCUGGUCUGUUGCUGACACUGAAGCACGAAAGCGUGGGGAGCAAAUAGGAUUAGAUACCCUAGUAGUCCACGCCGUAAA